ACGACCCCAGGUCAGGCGGGGCCACCCGCUGAGUUUA
This 37-nucleotide ribosomal RNA is filed under the name Asparagus cochinchinensis. RNAcentral describes it as "partial 28S rRNA". The record is from RNAcentral. Lineage: Eukaryota; Viridiplantae; Streptophyta; Magnoliopsida; Asparagales; Asparagaceae. RNAcentral also lists the same sequence under 1 other name.